UACGGAGGAUGCGAGCGUUAUCCGGAUUUAUUGGGUUUAAAGGGUGCGUAGGCGGACGCUUAAGUCAGCGGUAAAAUUGCGGGGCUCAACCUCGUCGAGCCGUUGAAACUGGGUGCCUUGAGUGGGCGAGAAGUGCGCGGAAUGCGUGGUGUAGCGGUGAAAUGCAUAGAUAUCACGCAGAACUCCGAUUGCGAAGGCAGCGUACCGGCGCCCAACUGACGCUGAAGCACGAAGGCGUGGGUGUCGAACAGG
This 252-nucleotide ribosomal RNA is filed under the name uncultured bacterium. RNAcentral describes it as "partial 16S ribosomal RNA". It matches the Rfam family "Bacterial small subunit ribosomal RNA", at positions 524 to 776 of the family's 1533-position model. The record is from RNAcentral.